AGGCAGAGCUAUCGAGAGGGCCUUUCUGGGGUUGCCUGCAAAAGACCGGUUAUGUGAUUCCAUUCCCCAUGUCCUGUGACAUAAGAGAUGAAUGCUCCUGCCGGGAUCUGAAUGCUUUCGAGAACAGGAAGGAUGAACACCUCCACUCCCUCGGGUGACCGCCCUGCGCAGGGACCUCUGUUCAACGUCCCAUUGCUCCAACACAACACGGCCUGAGUCGCUGUGAGAUCAGCAGAUCCCUUCUUCAUCCUCCUCUCGGCCUCCAAGUUUCCUGCACAUGCUGCUUAACAGGCAUACCUCUCCAUCCAUACUGCAACCUCAACCAGCUGAAUGGUCUCCGCCUCCACGUCACUGAAAGAUCUAGAAUAAAUGAUGGACCCCUUGAGACUCCACAGUAAAUUCCUCAGCUAAAAGGAAAGUAACUCCUGCAAUUACAUAAUAAUCAAAGAAAGCAAUUUCUUUUCUUAUUUUUAAGAAGGAAAACAAAUACAGAAGAGAACCUGAACAAAAAAUAUAACCCAGCCUAGGUAGCAUGCCUUUUGUUCUGGCUUCAGUGUCUAUUAGUGACCUUGCUAUACAAUCCUAUCAUUGAACUAAAGUUUAUUAAAAUUAUGGAAGUGGGGGAUUGUGUUUAUGUUGGCUCUGUGUUUUACAAAUAUGAAGGAAAUCAAGACAAAAUAAUCCUCAGACACUUUAAUUGCAUCUUUUUAGAGGAGCUUAUAUCAUUCCUGGUUCUUAACCGGUCAGACAUUCUGUAUUGUAUGUAUGUCAUUUUCAGAAGUGUGUUUCUUCGUAGGCACGUCAGAGGCUAUAGAGGUUAUUUCUAGCUUGGUGGGGAAUGCGACAGCCAUGUAGUUAAGCUUCAAGCCACAUGUUCAACACAAAAGCCAAAAGAUAAUGCACAAAUACAGUACAAAAAAAAAUCAACAACACACAUACACAAUAUCCUAAGAACAUUUUAUACUUAAAGCAAAUUCCCGAAUGCAUAUUAAAAACAAUUUAAGCAUGGCUUAUGCUACUGUGUUUGCUGCUACUUCACAUUAUUAUAUCUAAUAGGGUGAGACAGCUUUGUGUGCCAUGCCGCUGACAGGACCUCUCUAUAGCAUCCAUUCACACGUGCAUGUUAGUGCAUCAUACUUUGAAAGAACACAGGUUGAAAUCACCAGAUAUGAUAUGCACUAAGAACUUAAAAAAAAAAAAACCCAGAACCUCACUUGUCAUCCCCCUUCUUACCCAACCGCUCAAUAAAAUAGCUACCACGACUUAAAGAAUGUCAUUGUUAACACCUCGCUUUAGGUUGGGGUGAUUCAAGGUUCAGUUUGAACCCCUCCCUCUCGACGCUUGAAUAGAACUCGUUACCUCAAGCGCUGGUUAAAAAAAAACCCGAUUCUAGCCCUGUUCAGAAUGUAGUCAAUGCUUGUCGGGGGUCUGUGGCUUUUUUUGUUGUUUUUGAUCGCACAGUCCUACACAGCACAGCCACACAAUAGUAAAUAAAUAAAGGGCUGGAUAUCUGCCAUGGCUUUGACUGAAAGUGAGUACAGGUGGAAGGAGACAACAUCUGACACCUAAAUAGAUACACAUAUAUCUCUCCUUCCCUCCCCGUCCCAGUAGUUGUGGAUUCUCAGCUGUUGUGCUGCACACAAUUAACUAGUAUACAUAAACAUGACAUUUGGAUGUAUAUUUCAUCACAGCAUUUGCAGUCACAAUAUAAUCAAAAGGUUCCUACGAGUUGCUGCUGGGUCUAGUUUUUAAGGAAUGCAUUGAUGCAGUUAUGUUUGUCUCUGCAGUAAAAAGUGCACUUGGAUUUUUUUGACCAGCACUUUCCAGUAUUGUGAACUUGGGUGUCCGUCCCCACCAAUUAACUUCUUUAGAUGUUAUGGCUGCUACAAUAGCUUCGUGUUUUGAUAUUCUUCACUAAAGUCGCAUAAACAGUAGUUUUUUUACUCAUGCACUCAAGGCUGCUCGACAUAUUGAUCCAAAUUUCACAACAAUUUCAUAUCAUUUUAAACCAAUGUUGGUGAAGAACUAAAGGCAUUCAGAAAAAGUGAUAUGGUAUUUUUAUCCUCCAAAUAGAACUUUUUUUUCCCAUGUAAAUAUUACUAUAUGUUGUUGAUGGACAACUGUGUUGAAACAUGUUUUUGGUUUUUGUUUGUAUUUCAUUUUUUACACAAUGUCAUAUUUAAUCAGUGUUUAUAUUAUUGACCUCAGUUACUGCACUUUUUUUAUUUUCCGUGUAAGGAGAAAAGUAUAUCUUUCAAAAAUGUUUAGAAGCUGCUAUUGUCCGAAUGGUGAUCUGAAACAAACUGAAUGUCAUGAUAUUCAGUCGUUUGACUCCCUGUGUCGCUAUUAGCUUUCCUAUCAUUAGUAUGAUUUGUGUUUGGCCAUGAUUCCUUCUUUUCAAUCCUAAGCUGACUUUGCAUUUGAGGUUAUCAAUGAAGUAGAGAGGUAUUGUCUCUACAAACAAUGAAUCCAUCCGUCUUUCCAUCAUCCACACAGGACCCACAAACCCCCACCAAAAGUUGGAAAAAUAGAUUUUUAUUUAAGGUCUAACUACUGCAAGUUAGUUUGCAAUGGGGAAGGAUACUAAAUGAAUUAAACGGGACUCAUGACUAACUUUUAGGAAAUAUGAACUUUGAAAGCACGUUCUAUAGGCUCUAUCAUCAGAUUACAUCAAAACAUAUAAAGUCCUGCAUACAUUUUUUGGGGGGGAUAUUAUCAAAUUAUAUGUAAUAUUAAUGGUAAAUGGAAUGUAUUUGUAUUGUGCUUUUCUAGUCUUCUGACCGCUCAAAGCGCUGCAACAAUACAUGUCAUCAUUCAUGUAUUGAUGGCAGGAGCCACCCGCCCAGCAGCACCUAUCGUUCACAACCGCUAUUCACAGCUACGGGAGCAAUUAGGGGUUAAGUGUCUGUGGAGCUGGAGAUCGAACAAUCGAUCUUCUGGUUGUAGGGCUGCCCCGCUCUCCAUUAAGUAGGACCUACUCCUGGAAAUGCUGCUUAACACUUAACACAGUACUGCAAUUGACUGCACUGAAAAGUCAUGCUAACCUUUUUAAACGGAUUAAUCAAAACUCAAGUCAUUGAAUCCUUCCCUUCUUCAUAUAAAUGAACAUGACCGGCCGUCGCGUCCAAAAACGUAGAACUAUGAAGUAUUCCCUUUUGUGUCAUUAGUCAUUUUUUGGAUCCCAAAAUCAGAAAGGCUAAAGAAUGGGACUUCACGUCAGCUUAAAAAACGACAUUCUUAAUACUGGAGAUGGUACAAAUUAGCCAUAUCUAACCACAAUAGUACCACAAAGUAACACAAUUAUGAAUUGGAUGAGGACAUCACCUCUCUACUGUAGUCAUCACAGGAUCUCUUACUGUACCUCAUGCCUGUAAUGUUUGCUGCUUCUACACUUUUGGUAUUUUAGUGACAUUGUUGCGUCUCAUAACAGUGAUGUACAUAGUAGAACUAUUUAUUGAGAGUGUUAUACUUUUUUAAGUUAUAUUUAAUGUCCACGUAAGUUAUUUUUUACACAAAAAACAUCAUCGGUUGUGAGUCAAAACUGUAAUUUGUCUCUGAUGCUUUGUUGUGAUCAUUUCUGUCAUGCAUCGACCAGACGCACAAUACACUUCAGACUCACAUCCCCACAAGAAACUCAUUGGUCAUAAAGUGUAGAUGCAUCCAAUGAGGAUCCAACUCAUGUCCAAAUGUUACUGAGUGCAGUGUAUCAUUUUCCCCCUUUAACACCCGAAUGUAAAGUUUUUCCUUUUUAUUUGCUAUUUUUUUUAAAUCCACAAAUUAGCCAACACGUACCAUAUGAGGUGUUGUGAAAAGAGAACCAAGUAUAUAAUGGUCAAAUGAAUAAAUCCAUAGUUUAGCGAAUUAUGUUUCACGAGAACAGUCCAAGACAAAAAAAAAACAUACGUACACAGCCAGGAUGGGAGAGAUGUGUCAACAGUUUAAGGGAAAGAAGGACUUGAUGCCACAGGACAGUUGAUGGUUGCCCCAGAAAGAGUUCUUGGACUGCGGGAGAGUAGAAGGUGGGCAGGGAGAGAGAGGCAGGGGGGAGGGACGGGUGGGUGCUUUUCCUGGCUUGUCCGGCUAUUUGUCCAGGUGUGAAAGUGUGUACUCACAGAGGCUGCCCCUGGGCUCGGGGUGGCCAAGCGCUGACUGGCAACCAGCCGAGGCCAAUGAGUCAAUUUCUCCUGGUGGGGGGGGGGGGCGGCAACCAUACGUUUGUGGGACUCCCACCGCCCCCUCCUCCCCCAUGUCCCCCCCACCCUCCUGGACACACUGCCUCAUCUGUCACUGUCAGGUAUGCCUGCUCAGGGCUGCCAGGGUCAAGCUGGCCCUGUGAAAAUGGGAGAGGAUGUUUGCCCAGCUUACAGAGCCUUUUGAAGUUUUGUAGGCUGAAGGAACACAGUUCUCCUCACCUAGAUCCUAUGCUUAUCACAUAAUAUGAUUUGUAUAGCAGCCUUUUUUUUUUUUUUUGACAGGCUUUGAUACCUCUCCACAUUUUCCACCAACAGUCGCUUCUUUGUUUCUAAUUUAACACCCUGCUUGUCGAAAAAAAAUGCCAGAAACCUUGUUUCUAACGCAUUUCAAAGCCAUGGGAAGCGUAGGUAAAAGUGUCUAAAGCCGUAAUAUGUUUGUUCAGAUCAUUGCGGAAAAAAAAUACUGAUGUGCCAUCUUGUUGUAAGACAUUUUCCUUGUGUAUUGUAACACAUGAAAGUACCUCUCACAGGCCUCUGGUUAUAGAAUGGUCCACUUAUGUCUGUUUCCUUAUCCCUCAAUAAAUAAAAAAAGGUGAAUGGUCCUUUUUUUCUAAGUGGAAAAUAAUAAAAAAAAGUGUAUUUACAUAUUACGUGGAUAUCUAGUGGUAUUGCGAUGUUUCGUACCCAAUUGCUCAACAAAUAUAUUUUAAGAUGUAAAUAAUAUAUGAUUGUAUUUGCAAACCAUGUACUAACUGUUGGGAGUAGCUCUCUGAUUGGUUUUCAUCAUAACUAGUAUACAAAAAGAUGAACCGUGAAUAUGUUGUGCAUUGUGUCAAAGUAUCACCUGCAAGACAGAAAAAAGAAAAAAAAGACCUGUGAUGCUUUACCACACCACUCCCUGUCAGCAUUCAUCUGUUAAUAAUGGCUUAGUACAAGCACUGUUGUCAGUUGUCUAAACCAUGAAGUUAUCCAUUGAGUCAUUAAAUAUUUAUUUGUUGUCAAGAUGAAUAAAAACAUUGGUCAUUUCUGCAGUUUCGGAGUCUGUUGGAGUUGAUCCUCACGUCAAACCUGACUGAUCGUUGCGGUGCAUCUGCGCGUGCAUUUCAAAAUAGUCCGCAGACAGCUUUCCAUUCCUUACUCAUUCCUGUUGAGUCUAAUCCCGAUAACUUCGUGUUUUUGCUGGGAAUUUCACCAACACUGUAAAGGUUAGCCAACAGACCCAGUCGUCCCUCUGAUGGCCUGCUGUCUCUUUGGUUCUUAAACAGUACCCACUUUUUCAGGCACAUAUACAACAGAUUGGACUUUUAUGUUAAAGCCAAUAUUUCCCUCUGUUUUCACCGUUGCGGUUGAAUAUAUUUUUGGUGCUCUGGUACAUGGCAAAACAUGUCUGUGUACUAUAUUUUCAUAAGGAAGAGUCAUAUUAUCAUCUUUUUCAUUCUGCUGUCAUUUAUUGUGUAGAAAUAAAACACUGGUUAAAGUGAA
Molecule: long non-coding RNA, 5675 nt
Organism: Gasterosteus aculeatus aculeatus (three-spined stickleback)
Lineage: Eukaryota; Metazoa; Chordata; Actinopteri; Perciformes; Gasterosteidae
Source: Ensembl